RNAcentral lists this ribosomal RNA (367 nucleotides) under uncultured bacterium. Its description in RNAcentral is "bacterial SSU rRNA". It matches the Rfam family "Bacterial small subunit ribosomal RNA", at positions 527 to 896 of the family's 1533-position model. The record is from RNAcentral.
GUAGGUGGCAAGCGUUGUCCGGAUUUAUUGGGUUUAAAGGGUGCGUAGGCGGCUUUGUAAGUCAGUGGUGAAAUACGGCAGCUCAACUGUCAGGGUGCCAUUGAUACUGCGGAGCUUGAGUACAGAUGAGGUAGGCGGAAUUGACGGUGUAGCGGUGAAAUGCUUAGAUAUCGUCAAGAACACCGAUAGCGAAGGCAGCUUACUGGGCUGUAACUGACGCUGAGGCACGAAAGUGUGGGGAUCAAACAGGAUUAGAUACCCUGGUAGUCCACACUGUAAACGUUGAUGACUCGCUGUUGGCGAUACACAGCCAACGGCAGAGAGAAAUCGUUAAGUCAUCCACCUGGGGAGUACGCCGGCAACGGUG